This 507-nucleotide ribosomal RNA is filed under the name Plagiostoma pulchellum. RNAcentral describes it as "eukaryotic LSU rRNA". The stretch from base 191 to 344 matches the Rfam family "5.8S ribosomal RNA". The record is from RNAcentral. Lineage: Eukaryota; Fungi; Ascomycota; Sordariomycetes; Diaporthales; Gnomoniaceae.
UCAUUGAUGGAAUAAACGCCCUUACAGGCGCUACCCAUAAACCCUUUGUGAAUACUACCUAAAAUGUUGCCUCGGCAUUGGUUGGCCUCUUUGAGGUCCCUUCUCUCCAGGGAAGGAGCAGACCGGCCGGUGGCCCUAUAAACUCUUGUUUUUGUACUAUCAUCUGAGUAAAACAACUAAAAUGAAUCAAAACUUUCAACAACGGAUCUCUUGGUUCUGGCAUCGAUGAAGAACGCAGCGAAAUGCGAUAAGUAAUGUGAAUUGCAGAAUUCAGUGAAUCAUCGAAUCUUUGAACGCACAUUGCGCCCGGUGGUAUUCCACCGGGCAUGCCUGUUCGAGCGUCAUUUCAACCCUCAAAGCCCUGGCUUUGGUGUUGGAGGAAUACCCUGUAAGAAGGGUACCCUCUGAAAUUUAGUGGCGGGCUCGCUAGAAUUUUGAGCGUAGUAAUUUUACCUCGUUUUUAAAGACUAGUGGGACUUCUUGCCGUAAAACCCCCCAACUUUCUGA